RNAcentral lists this small nuclear RNA (107 nucleotides) under Physeter macrocephalus (sperm whale). Lineage: Eukaryota; Metazoa; Chordata; Mammalia; Artiodactyla; Physeteridae. The record is from RNAcentral.
GUGCUCGCUUCGGCAGCACGUAUACUAAAAUUGGAACGAUACAGAGAAGAUCAGCAUGGCCCCUGCGCAAGGAUGACACGCAAAUUCGUGAAGCCUUCCAUAUUUUU